This 1011-nucleotide ribosomal RNA is filed under the name Triticum aestivum (bread wheat). RNAcentral describes it as "partial small subunit ribosomal RNA". The record is from RNAcentral. Lineage: Eukaryota; Viridiplantae; Streptophyta; Magnoliopsida; Poales; Poaceae.
AUGCUGCUGCCCGUUGACAGCUUUCUUGUUCUUGGCCGGCUUCUUGGGUGCGGAACCGGCGCCGCCGUUGUGGGUGGCAGCGAGUUGAGCAGAGCAACCGGCGUCGGCGGCACUAGUAGGCGCGCCGAGUGCGAAUGUCACCUUCUUCUUCCUCCUCCUCUUGCUGGGUCCGGCUCCUCCUGGUGCUGCUGCUGCUGCAUUCGUUGGUCCAACUCCAACGUGGUGGUGGGCUUGUGCGUGUCCAAUGGCAAUGCCACCGGCCUGUUCCUUGCCGGCAGAUCCGUGGGGGACGGCGACGGCCAUGGCCUGGCAUGGAUUCGGGCGAGCGGCGGCGGUGGCAGGAGCUUCGUUAGAGCGAUGCUGACCUGUGCUGCUGACCAGGGCAGCGUCGUCCUUGCCGGCGCGGCCGGUGGCGGGCACGGAGACGGAGGCGGAGGCUUCCCUGUGGAGGGCGAAGAAGGCGAGGAGGGCGCCGGCGUCGACGUUGCCCACCAGGGGCUCGUAGUCGUAGGGGGAUGCGGCGCAGCGGCGGAGCGCGGCGAGCAGGUCGGGCGCGGCGACGUCGGCCUGCUGGAGCCGGAGGAGCAGCGCCGGGCCCUCGCUCGCCGCCCCCUUUCUUGGAGGCGGGGUGUCGCCGCCGUGGAGGGCGCUGAGGAUGGUGGGGGUCUCGUAGUCGUCGAGGUACCUGCUCCUCUUGCGCGCGCGCUUGGCCCCCUUGUCCUCCACGGCGAGCGCGAGUGUUUGGGCCGCGGGUGGUGGGGCGUCGUCCAUGAGCAUGAGGGCGCCGGAGACGAAGGGGGGGAAGGGCGAUCUGUGGAUCCGGUGGCUCCGUGCUCCUCCUUACAACUUUUUUCUCCUUGGUCUUGGUCUUGGUGUCGGGUGGGUUCAACCAUCAAUGUCUUCUUUACUCCUUUCCACACCACAUUGAUAUUGUUUGGUUGUCUGCAUUGUAACGGAGGGUACAAAAUUAGUACAAAGUUGGGUUAUCUAUUUUUGGAACGGAGGGAGUAA